UUUUUUUUUUUUUUUUUUUUUUUUUAAGACAGCGUCUUCCUCUGUCGCCCAGGCUGGAGGGCAGUGGUACGAUCACGGUUCACUGCAGCUUUGACUUCUUGGACUCAAGCAAUCCUUCUGCUUCAGCCUCCCAAGUAGCUGGCAGUACCGGCCCACACCACCAUGCCCAGCUUUUUUUUUUAGAGACGGUCUCACUAUGUUGCCUAGGCUGGUCUUGAUCUCAAGAAAUCCUUGAGAUCCUUGGGCUCAAGAAAUCCUCCCACCUCAGCCUCCCAAAGUACUGGGAUUACAGAGAGAGAGUUCAUCUCAAAAAAAAAAAAAAAGUUUGUUCCCUGGACCCAGCUCUGCAUCCCCUUUUAACAACUAAUUCCUUUUUCCUUCCUCCUUUUUGAGCCAACUUCUCUGUCCCCUCACUAAGCCAGCCAGCCCACUGCUGGCCUUCCACCACUUCCUUGAUGACAGACCUGGUCCUUCUCUGGCCUGACUUCUCUCCAGUGUUUGCUCUUUAAAAUCCUCUCCUUCUUGGGCUUCCUCAGGCCAGGCCUCCUGGUUUUCCUUCUUUUUCUCUGCUACUGCUCAGCAAUUGGGCCCCAAGCUCCACCUCCUCUGCCAUGGCCUCAUGCUUGGUGUCUCACCUGGCUUCUCACUCCACUGCCUUGGGAGAGCCCAGCCCCACCGGCUGUAGAGGAACAACUCGCAGCAAAGUCUCCAGGCUCACAUAUCCCACUGCCAUCUGGAUGUCCUUUGUACAUGUCAAAAGCUGUGUGCCCCAAAUCAAAUUUGUCCUCUCCCUCCUCCUUCCCCCAUCUCAGCAUCUGAGUGACAUCUACCUCUGUCACUCAAGGUAGAAUUAUCCUUGCCUCCUGCCGGCUUUGCCUCAUCUGACGCUGAGCCCCAUUGAUCCGACCAGCCUAAGCCUUGCAGACCUGCCUACCAGUUCUCAGGUAACACCAGGGUUAGAGGAAGAUGGAAACACUGCUGCAAGGAAGCAGACACCUUGCAGGCAGGGCAAUGAGUCAGUGUCCAGGCAGAAGGAAAGGGCGGGGCUCUUCAAGGGAGAUUGAAGAGACAGCCAGAUGCAAGGCAUGGCCUUGGACAGGAUCCUGAACCAAACCAACCAGCUGUGAGAGAAAUGUUUUAGGAUAAGGCAGAAAUCUGAUGAUGGCUUAGGUCAUAGAUGGCACUAAGGAAUUAUUGUUAAUUUUGUCAGAUAUAUUAAUGAUAGGGUGUUUAUGGAGAAAGACAUCACUUUUCAGAGAUGCAUGCUGAAGUUUUCAAGGGUGAAAUAUAUCUAGAAUUUAUAAUUCAUCAGCAAUAAAUAAAUAAAAAUAAACAUGGCAAAUAUUGUUUUUUCUCUUUUCUCUCUUUUUUUUUCCUUCUAGUACAGCAGCCAGCAAGAUGCUGGCUCCUUGCUAUUGUUAAAUCUAGGCAAUAGGUAACUGUAUUCUUUUUUUUAUUUUUUAUUUUUUGAGACAGAGUCUAGCUUUGUCGCCUAGGCUAGAGUGCAGUGGCGCAAUCUCGGCUCACUGCAACCUCUGC
RNAcentral lists this long non-coding RNA (1539 nucleotides) under Macaca fascicularis (crab-eating macaque). RNAcentral's name for it is "lncRNA (ENSMFAG00000052207.1)". The record is from RNAcentral. Lineage: Eukaryota; Metazoa; Chordata; Mammalia; Primates; Cercopithecidae.